CACGCUGUAAACGAUGGAUACUAAAUGUAGGUGGAAUCGACUCUACCUGUAUUGAAGCUAACGCGAUAAGUAUCCCGCCUGAGUAGUACGGCCGCAAGGUUGAAACUUAAAGGAAUUGACGGGGACCCGCACAAGCAGCGGAGCAUGUUGUUUAAUUCGACGCAACACGAAGAACCUUACCAAGGCUUGACAUUGAAUGCAUAGUAUGGAAACAUAUGAAUUUGGUGUAGUAAUACAUCAACAUUUAAACAGAUGG
Molecule: ribosomal RNA, 256 nt
Filed under: uncultured bacterium
Lineage: Bacteria
Description: partial 16S ribosomal RNA
Rfam family: Bacterial small subunit ribosomal RNA
Source: RNAcentral